This 736-nucleotide small RNA is filed under the name Arabidopsis thaliana (thale cress). RNAcentral describes it as "ATSL264510". The record is from RNAcentral. Lineage: Eukaryota; Viridiplantae; Streptophyta; Magnoliopsida; Brassicales; Brassicaceae.
AUUUCACAUCAUUUGUCAUCACUUUGCAUGUUUAGGAUAGUUUUGCAUGCAUGUUGCAUAUUUGCGUUGAUUUCAGGUGAUUUGGAGCUGUUGACGAGCUAUCUGGAAGAAGCGGACCUGAUCAUGACAAACCACUCGACCCAAAGGUCGAGUAGGAGCUUCAAGAUCUCAAGAGACCACUCGACCACCAGGUCGAGUAGAGGACAUCACUACUUCACUUCACCACUCGACCCCGAGGUCGAGUGCCCUCGUCUCCAUCACUCGAUCGCUUCACUCGACCAUGAGGUCGAGUGUCUUCACCUCCAUCACCAGACAACCACUCGACCUCUUCACUCUACCUAGAGGUCGAGUAUCGCCAUCACACCACUCGACUGCAUACUCGAUGACAAGCUUCAGAGCCUUCUUCAUUCCGCACUCAACCAGACACUCGAGCACAAGGAAGAAAAGAAGACUCCAGCUAUUCACUCGACCUCUCACUCGACCACCUGGGUCGAGUACAGUUCUUAACCCGUCCAAAUACUUCGUCGUUUUGAGUAUUAGAGUUUCGGAUAUUUGGCUAUAAGUAGCAUGUACUUCUCAUUUUCGCAGGACAAGAAGUUUUUUACCUAGUUUUAUUUCCGCGGACCUUGUGUUCUAGACUUUUUGUAAUCCGGAUUUCUAUUUAUCUAUUCAGUAUUCAGUAUUCAGUUUCUGUUCUUGAUUUUCGUUUACUGUUGUUCAUUCUGUUAUCAUACUG